UGAAUUUCGUGUAGACCAAAUCCA
RNAcentral lists this non-coding RNA (24 nucleotides) under Arabidopsis thaliana (thale cress). Lineage: Eukaryota; Viridiplantae; Streptophyta; Magnoliopsida; Brassicales; Brassicaceae. The record is from RNAcentral.